Molecule: ribosomal RNA, 597 nt
Filed under: Clostridioides difficile
Lineage: Bacteria; Bacillati; Bacillota; Clostridia; Peptostreptococcales; Peptostreptococcaceae
Description: bacterial SSU rRNA
Rfam family: Bacterial small subunit ribosomal RNA
Source: RNAcentral
CAGGAUGGACCCGCGUCUGAUUAGCUAGUUGGUAAGGUAACGGCUUACCAAGGCGACGAUCAGUAGCCGACCUGAGAGGGUGAUCGGCCACAUUGGAACUGAGACACGGUCCAAACUCCUACGGGAGGCAGCAGUGGGGAAUAUUGCACAAUGGGCGAAAGCCUGAUGCAGCAACGCCGCGUGAGUGAUGAAGGCCUUCGGGUCGUAAAACUCUGUCCUCAAGGAAGAUAAUGACGGUACUUGAGGAGGAAGCCCCGGCUAACUACGUGCCAGCAGCCGCGGUAAUACGUAGGGGGCUAGCGUUAUCCGGAUUUACUGGGCGUAAAGGGUGCGUAGGCGGUCUUUCAAGUCAGGAGUGAAAGGCUACGGCUCAACCGUAGUAAGCUCUUGAAACUGGGAGACUUGAGUGCAGGAGAGGAGAGUGGAAUUCCUAGUGUAGCGGUGAAAUGCGUAGAUAUUAGGAGGAACACCAGUUGCGAAGGCGGCUCUCUGGACUGUAACUGACGCUGAGGCACGAAAGCGUGGGGAGCAAACAGGAUUAGAUACCCUGGUAGUCCACGCUGUAAACGAUGAGUACUAGGUGUCGGGGGUUACCCC